RNAcentral lists this ribosomal RNA (253 nucleotides) under uncultured bacterium. RNAcentral's name for it is "partial 16S ribosomal RNA". It matches the Rfam family "Bacterial small subunit ribosomal RNA", at positions 524 to 776 of the family's 1533-position model. The record is from RNAcentral.
UACAGAGGUCCCGAGCGUUGUUCGGAUUCACUGGGCGUAAAGGGUGCGUAGGUGGUGAGGUAAGUCGGAUGUGAAAUCUCCGGGCUCAACCCGGAAAUGGCAUUGGAAACUACCUUGCUAGAGGAUUUGAGGGGGGAUUGGAAUACUUGGUGUAGCAGUGAAAUGCGUAGAUAUCUGGAGGAACACCGGUGGCGAAGGCGGCAUCCUGGACCGACACUGACGCUGAGGAGCGAAAGCCAGGGGAGCAAACGGG